UGGAGUUGUGGCCGGCGUUCUACGCAUGCAAGUCGCACGAGGCGCAAGCCGAGUGGCGGACGGGUGAGUAACAUCAGGCACCUGCCCGGGAGUGGGGGACAACUCUCCGAAAGGUUUAUCUAAGACCGCAUACGGUCUACGGACCAAAUCCGAAAGUCGCUCUCGGUGGGUUCCGCGAUGGAUUUGGUUUUUGGUGGGGUUUUUGCCACCCUUUCAUCUUUCU
This 223-nucleotide ribosomal RNA is filed under the name uncultured bacterium. RNAcentral's name for it is "partial 16S ribosomal RNA". The record is from RNAcentral.